Molecule: ribosomal RNA, 510 nt
Filed under: uncultured bacterium
Lineage: Bacteria
Description: SSU rRNA
Rfam family: Bacterial small subunit ribosomal RNA
Source: RNAcentral
GGCUUAGAGUUUGAUCCUGGCUCAGAUUGAACGCUGGCGGCAUGCCUUACACAUGCAAGUCGAACGGCAGCACGGGGGGUAACCCCUGGUGGCGAGUGGCGAACGGGUGAGUAAUAUAUCGGAACGUGUCCUGUAGCGGGGGAUAACCUAUCGAAAGAUGGACUAAUACCGCAUACGCUCUACGGAGGAAAGCGGGGGUUUUCGGGCAACUGAGGACCUCGCACUAUAGGAGCGGCCGAUAUCGGAUUAGCUAGUUGGCGGGGUAAAAGCCCACCAAGGCGACGAUCCGUAGCUGGUCUGAGAGGAUGAUCAGCCACACUGGAACUGAGACACGGUCCAGACUCCUACGGGAGGCAGCAGUGGGGAAUUUUGGACAAUGGGCGCAAGCCUGAUCCAGCCAUGCCGCGUGAGUGAAGAAGGCCUUCGGGUUGUAAAGCUCUUUCGGCAGGAACGAAAUGGUUCGUGCUAAUACGACGGACUGAUGAAAGGUACCUGAAGAGGGAGCNCCAA